AACCAUGCACCGAAGCUGCGGCAGCGAACGUAUCACCCAAGACAACUUUACGGAGUUGACGAUUGACGGAGCGAAGCGACGUCAAAGCGUUCAUUAAAGUCGAGUUGGCUUAGGGAUACGUUCGUUGGGUAGGGGAGCGUUCUGUAAGCCUGUGAAGGUGUGUCGUGAGGCAUGCUGGAGGUAUCAGAAGUGCGAAUGCUGACAUAAGUAACGAUAAAGCGGGUGAAAAGCCCGCUCGCCGGAAGACCAAGGGUUCCUGUCCAACGUUAAUCGGGGCAGGGUGAGUCGACCCCUAAGGCGAGGCCGAAAGGCGUAGUCGAUGGGAAACGGGUUAAUAUUCCCGUACUUGGUGUUACUGCGAAGGGGGGACGGAGAAGGCUAUGUUGGCCGGGCGACGGUUGUCCCGGUUUAAGCGUGUAGGUGUGUGUUCCAGGUAAAUCCGGUUCACUUUAACACUGAGGCGUGACGACGAGGCACUACGGUGCUGAAGCAACAAAUGCCCUGCUUCCAGGAAAA
RNAcentral lists this ribosomal RNA (516 nucleotides) under Salmonella enterica. Its description in RNAcentral is "partial 23S ribosomal RNA". It matches the Rfam family "Bacterial large subunit ribosomal RNA", at positions 1185 to 1616 of the family's 2925-position model. RNAcentral also lists the same sequence under 1 other name. Lineage: Bacteria; Pseudomonadati; Pseudomonadota; Gammaproteobacteria; Enterobacterales; Enterobacteriaceae. The record is from RNAcentral.